This 492-nucleotide ribosomal RNA is filed under the name uncultured bacterium. Its description in RNAcentral is "partial 16S ribosomal RNA". It matches the Rfam family "Bacterial small subunit ribosomal RNA", at positions 29 to 507 of the family's 1533-position model. The record is from RNAcentral.
AGUGAACGCUGGCGGUAGGCCUAACACAUGCAAGUCGAACGGCAGCACAGUAAGAGCUUGCUCUUACGGGUGGCGAGUGGCGGACGGGUGAGGAAUACAUCGGAAUCUACUUUUUCGUGGGGGAUAACGUAGGGAAACUUACGCUAAUACCGCAUACGACCUACGGGUGAAAGCAGGGGAUCUUCGGACCUUGCGCGAUUGAAUGAGCCGAUGUCGGAUUAGCUAGUUGGCGGGGUAAAGGCCCACCAAGGCGACGAUCCGUAGCUGGUCUGAGAGGAUGAUCAGCCACACUGUAACUGAGACACGGUCCUUACUACUACGGGAGGCAGCAGUGGGGAAUAUUGGACAAUUGGCGCAAGCCUGAUCCAGCCAUACCGCGUGGGUGAAGAAGGCCUUCUGGUUGUAAAGCCCUUUUGUUGGGAAAGAAAAGCAGCAGGUUAAUACCCCGCUGUUCUGACGGUACCCAAAGAAUAAGCACCGGCUAACUUCGUG